AGAGUUUGAUCCUGGCUCAGGACGAACGCUGGCGGCGUGCUUAACACAUGCAAGUCGAGCGCGAACUAGAGGUUGGAAGUUAGAGGUUAGAAGUUAGAAGAGGUAGGAAUUGGCCCGCGGCCAAUUCCAUCGACCAGUUCUAAUUUCUAAUUUCCAACUUCCAACCUCUAGGGAGAGCGGCGGACGGGUGAGUAACGCGUGGGUAACCUGCCCGUAAAUCUGGGAUAACAGCGGGAAACCGUUGCUAAUACCGGAUACACCCAUAGGCUCCCAAGGGCUUAUGGGGAAAGGCCCUUAUGGGUCGUUUACGGAUGGGCCCGCGUCCCAUUAGCUAGUUGGUAGGGUAACGGCCUACCAAGGCGACGAUGGGUAGCCGGCCUGAGAGGGUGGUCGGCCACACUGGAACUGAGACACGGUCCAGACUCCUACGGGAGGCAGCAGUGGGGAAUAUUGCGCAAUGGGCGGAAGCCUGACGCAGCAACGCUGCGUGUGGGAAGAAGGUCUUCGGAUUGUAAACCACUGUCUAGGGGGACGAAGGACUGGGGGAGGCAAUGCCCCCGGGGUGACGGUACCCCUGGAGGAAGCCCCGGCUAACUACGUGCCAGCAGCCGCGGUAAUACGUAGGGGGCGAGCGUUGUCCGGAAUUACUGGGCGUAAAGGGCGCGUAAGCGGCUGGGUGUGUCAGGUGUGAAAUACCGGGGCUUAACUCCGGGGCUGCACCUGAAACUACCCGGCUUGAGGGCAGGAGAGGGGAGUGGAAUUCCCGGUGUA
This 771-nucleotide ribosomal RNA is filed under the name uncultured bacterium. RNAcentral describes it as "bacterial SSU rRNA". It matches the Rfam family "Bacterial small subunit ribosomal RNA", at positions 8 to 677 of the family's 1533-position model. The record is from RNAcentral.